UGAAACAAGAUACUAGGGAGUUUAGUAAAGCUAUUUGGAGCAUUUUUGGUGGAACUAGAAGCCCUAGAUCAUCAAGAUUUUUCUUAUCUUCAUCCUUAUUUCCUAGCAAAAAUUGUCGAGAAACGAACCGCGAACAAGGAAUCGAAUAGAGAUUUGCACGGAACGCAAAUCUGAGAUUAGUGGACGGCUUUGGGAAAAUAUGUUCAAGUGGUUAUCAAGAACGCAAGCUUUUGUGAUGUCAUCCGUUUUUAGUGUUAUGUUUUGAACUUUGAAUAAUGUAGUUAAAGUUGU
Helianthus annuus (common sunflower) is the source of this 291-nucleotide long non-coding RNA. RefSeq lists it as uncharacterized. The record is from RefSeq and is a predicted model, not a curated record. The transcript has 3 exons. Lineage: Eukaryota; Viridiplantae; Streptophyta; Magnoliopsida; Asterales; Asteraceae.